This 3239-nucleotide long non-coding RNA is filed under the name Sus scrofa (pig). RNAcentral describes it as "lncRNA (ENSSSCG00040061816.1, ENSSSCG00060018694.1)". The record is from RNAcentral. Lineage: Eukaryota; Metazoa; Chordata; Mammalia; Artiodactyla; Suidae.
ACUUAAAACCUUUUGUACAACAAAGGAAAGCAUCAACAAAAUGAUAAAAGACAACUUACAGAAUAGGAGAAAAUAUUUGCAAAUGAUAUGACUGAUAAGGGGUUUAUAUUCAAAAUAUAUAAACAGCUAACAUAACUCAAUAUAGGAAAAUACAAAAUUGGUAAAAAACCUGAAUAGACAUUUUUUGAAAGUAAUACAGAUGACCAAUAGGCACAUGAAAAUAUGCUAAACAUCACUAAUCAUCAUAAAAAUGCAAAUCAAAACCACAAUGAGGGAGAUGCUAAAAAGGGGGAAUCCGAGUACAUUGUUGUUGGAAAUGUAAACUGGUUCAGCCACUAUUAAAAACAAAAUGGAUGUUCCACAGAAAACUGAAAACAGAACUACCAUAUCGUCCAGCAAUUCAAAUCCUGAGUGUAUAUUCAAAGAAAAUGAAAACAUUAAUUUGAAAGGAUACAUCAACCGUGGUGUUCACAGCAGCAUCACUUACAAUAACCAACAAAUGGAAGCAACCUAAUUUCCAUCAACAGAUGAAUGGAUAAAGAAAAUGAAGUAUAUGUACACAAUAGAAUACUAGUCAGACAUAAAAAAGAAUGAAAUAUUGGACUUCCCAUUCUGGCGAAGCAAAAACUAGUAUCCAUGAGGAUAUGGGUUCGAUACUCAGCCUUGCUCAGUGGGUUAAGAAUCUGACAUUGCCGUGAGCUGUGGGGUAGGUCACAGAUGUGGCUCAGAUCCCAUGUUGCUGUGCCUGUGGUGUAUGCUGGUAGUUGUAGCUCUAAUUUGACCCCCAUCCUGGGAACCUCCAAGUGCCAAGGAUACGGCCAUAAAAGGCAAAAAAAAAAAAAAAGCAUGAAGUUUUGCCAGUUGCAAAAUCAUGCAUGGACCUGGAGGGUAUUAUGCCUAGUGAAAUAAGUUAGAGAAAGACAAGUAUUGUAUGUUAUCACUUACAUAUGUAACCCAAAAUAUAAAAUGAAUAUAACAAAACAGAAAUACACUCACAAAUGUAGACAAGAAACUAGAAGACAGGAGGGGCAAAAUCAGGGUAGGGAAUUAAGAAGUAGAAACUACUAUGUAUAAACUAAUUAAGCUACAAGGAUAUAUUGUACAGCACAGGGAAUAUAGCCAAUACUUUAUAAUAACUUCAAAUGAAGUAUAAUCUGUAAAAAUUGUGAAUCACUAUGUUGUACACCUGAAACUAAUAUUGUAAAUCAAACAUAUGUCAAUUAAAAACAUAGGAUCACCUCUUUGGUUAGUAGGUAAAUGUGUUUGUGGUAGUAAUAAAUAAAUAAGGCAAUACAAAAACACAUUUACUUUAGGAGGUCCUGCUGUGGCACAGUGGGUUAGGAAUCUGAAGUGGCUCAGGUCACUGCAGAGGUAAAGGUUCAAUCUCUGAACCAUCACAGUAGGUUAAUGAUCUGGCCUGCCACAGCUUGGGCAGAGGUCACAGCUGUGGCACAGAUCAUAGCAGUGCUCUGAUUUAAUCCCUUUAUGCCACAGACGCAGGCAUAAAAUUCAAAAAAAAAAAAAAAACAAACAAAAAAAAACACAUUACUUUGCUCUGGUCCCCUUAUUGAAACUUGAAAAAAUUGUAAACAUUAUAUUUUUUAUUUUUUGGUUUUUUGGCCAUACCAGAAUAUUCAGAAGUUCCCAAACCAGGAAGCAAACCUAUUCCACUACUGUGACACAAGCCAUAGCAGUGUCCUUAACCUGCUAUGCCACCAAGGGAACUCUGUGAACAUUUAAAAAGUAAAUAAACUAAAUGAAGAAACAAACAUGAGCAUACAAUGUACUAAAUGCCACAAAGCUUUAAAUAAAUAUUUAAAGAAAAAAUGAUUAUUCAUUGUAGAAUAACAUGCUAUGAAAUAGACAUUUUCAUAUAUUGCCAACAGUAAUACAAGGAUUUAGAAAACAACUUGGCAAUAAUCCUUUGACCUUAUCUUGAAUAAAUCUGCCUUUUUCAUGUAUAUAAAUAAAAUAAUUCUAAGGAAAUAAUUUUAAUGACAAGAGAUAUGAAUCUAAGAAUUAUUUAAAACAGCCAAAAAAAAACUGCGAAUAAGUAAAAUGUGCAAUAAUGACUAAGUAAACAGUCAUGUAUAAAAGUCACAUGAUACCAUACCAGUCACUAUAAGUAAUUCAGAAAGUUCAAUUACAAUAUGAAAACUACUUCAUGCUAAAAUGUUCACUAGCAUUAAGAUUAAGAUGGCGGAAUAGAAGGACUAUAGCUCAACUCCUCUCCUAAAAACAACAAAAUUUACAAACCAAAUACCCAGCACUCUCCACCCAAAUGGAGCAGAAACAUUGAAAAAUAUAUCCUACUCCAGAAGAAAAAGAGGAGGCCACAUCAAGAGGCAGAAGAGGCAAUUACACUAUAUAAACAACCCCAUACCUCCCAGGUGGGAAGCCCCACAGACUGGAAACUAACUGUAUCACAGAGACUCACCCAAAGGAGUGAGAGUUCUGAGCCCCACAUCAAACCCCCAUGCGUGGGGAUCUGGCACUGGGAGAAAGAGCUCCUGGAGCAUCUGGCAUUGAAGGCCAGUGGGGCUUGUGCACAGGAGCUCCAUGGGACUGGGGGAAACGGAGAACCCAUUUUUAAAAGGUGCACACAUACUUUCAAGUGCACUAGGUCCCAAGGCAAAGCUAACUCUCCACAGGAAUGUGGGUUAAAGCUGACUGCCAUUCUUGGAGGACCUCCUGGCAAAACAGGGGUGAAUGUGCCUUGCUGGGGGGAAGGACAUUGGAAGCAAAGAUCUUGGGAAUAUUCAGCAGCAUGCCUUUCUCUGAAGGGGGACAUUUUGGGAUAAUCUGGCCCCACUCAUCAGCCCUGAGAAGCCCCAGGGCAAACAACAAUCCAGGUGGGAUGACACAAAUAUCCAACAGUAAACAGGCUGCCUAAAGUCCCCGAAGGCACACAGCUGCCUCUAAUCUCAUCCAGACACAAAGCCCAACACACCAGAGGGAUAGGAUCAGCUCCACCUACCAGUGGGCAGGCAUCAGCCCCUCCCAUCAGGAAGCCUACAGCAAGCCCCCAUACUGACUUCAGCCACAAGGGGGGCAGACACCAGAAGUGAGAGAGGCUACAAUGCUAUUAUCUGUAAAAAGGUCACCACACCAAAAACCUAUAAAAAUGAAAAGACAGAGAACUAUAACUCAGAUGAGGGAGAAAGACAAAACCCCAGAAUAUCAGCUAAGUGAUCAGGAGAUUCUUGGCCUCCAGGAAAAAGACUUUAGAUUGUUGAUGC